GCAACUCGCCUACACGAAGUCGGAAUCGCUAGUAAUCGCGGAUCAGCACGCCGCGGUGAAUACGUUCCCGGGCCUUGUACACACCGCCCGUCACACCAUGGGAGUUUGUAACGCCCAAAGUCGGUGGCCUAACCUUUAUGGAGGGAGCCGCCUAAGGCGGGACAGAUGACUGGGGUGAAGUCGUAACAAGGUACC
Molecule: ribosomal RNA, 195 nt
Filed under: uncultured bacterium
Lineage: Bacteria
Description: partial 16S ribosomal RNA
Rfam family: Bacterial small subunit ribosomal RNA
Source: RNAcentral